This 404-nucleotide ribosomal RNA is filed under the name Saitozyma cf. flava SU8.4. RNAcentral's name for it is "eukaryotic LSU rRNA". The stretch from base 37 to 190 matches the Rfam family "5.8S ribosomal RNA". Lineage: Eukaryota; Fungi; Basidiomycota; Tremellomycetes; Tremellales; Trimorphomycetaceae. The record is from RNAcentral.
UCAGUGUAAUGAACGUGAAAAAUAGUAAUCAAAUAAAACUUUCAACAACGGAUCUCUUGGCUCUCGCAUCGAUGAAGAACGCAGCGAAAUGCGAUAAGUAAUGUGAAUUGCAGAAUUCAGUGAAUCAUCGAAUCUUUGAACGCACCUUGCGCCUUUUGGUAUUCCGAAAGGCAUGCCUGUUUGAGUGUCAUGAAUUCUCAACCCCUCGGGUUUUGCGACCCGGGAAGGUUGGACUUGGGCGUUGCCGGUCACACGGCUCGCCUUAAAAGCGUUAGUGGGAUAACCCUCGUGAUCGACGUGAUAAGUUCUCGUUGCGACCUUGGGUGACGUCCGCUCACAACCCCCAUAUUCUUAGACUCUGACCUCAAAUCAGGUAGGACUACCCGCUGAACUUAAGCAUAUCA